RNAcentral lists this long non-coding RNA (207 nucleotides) under Setaria italica (foxtail millet). RNAcentral describes it as "long non-coding RNA (SITA_LNC003009)". Lineage: Eukaryota; Viridiplantae; Streptophyta; Magnoliopsida; Poales; Poaceae. The record is from RNAcentral.
CAGGUGGGACCCUAAGAGACGAGGUGCUGGCCCUCCUUAUUCCGCCAGAAGACCACUCCGCGCAGUGUGCAGACUCGUCCCACGAGUAGAGUGCCCCACCUAGAGUUGUACUCUAGAAGGAGUCCCGAGUCUAGAUUUGUACCCCCAGUUGUGUUGUUGUACCGGUCGUGUAGCGCAUGUUUUGGCCCUACCCCAAGUGUUGUAACC